GUGGGGAAUCUUAGACAAUGGGGGAAACCCUGAUCUAGCCAUGCCGCGUGAUCGAUGAAGGCCUUAGGGUUGUAAAGAUCUUUCAGCUGGGAAGAUAAUGACGGUACCAGCAGAAGAAGCCCCGGCUAACUCCGUGCCAGCAGCCGCGGUAAUACGGAGGGGGCUAGCGUUGUUCGGAAUUACUGGGCGUAAAGCGCACGUAGGCGGAUUGGAAAGUUGGGGGUGAAAUCCCGGGGCUCAACCCCGGAACUGCCUUCAAAACUCCCAGUCUUGAGGUCGAGAGAGGUGAGUGGAAUUCCGAGUGUAGAGGUGAAAUUCGUAGAUAUUCGGAGGAACACCAGUGGCGAAGGCGGCUCACUGGCUCGAUACUGACGCUGAGGUGCGAAAGCGUGGGGAGCAAACAGGAUUAGAAACCCUUGUAGUCC
Molecule: ribosomal RNA, 425 nt
Filed under: uncultured bacterium
Lineage: Bacteria
Description: partial 16S ribosomal RNA
Rfam family: Bacterial small subunit ribosomal RNA
Source: RNAcentral